AUCUCCAAAUCCGAGGGGAAUUCUGAGUGAGUGAGUGGCAGGGCCGGGAGCCAUGCCCGAGGGCCACGAGCCUGCAACUCCUUCUUCAUGCCAGAAGUCGCAGCGACCUGUCAUGCCUCCGGCCCUCAUGAGGCCACAGGGCCAGGCACACAUUCUCAGCCCCACCAGGGUAGUGCCAGCAGAGGACAAAGGCUCCCAUUCAGAGUGAACUGCUCCAGCCGCAGGCCCCGAGUGGCCCCUCUGAAGCUAAGCCACCUUCCUCCGUGCACCCCGCUGCCUCCCGCCCAAUUCCACCAGCUUCUCUGAAAUCAAUCAGGUCAAGGUCAAACGGCCAAGGUGAAGCCAAACCCAGGGAAGCAGAUUUAGAGAACUGAACAGACACCUCACUGCCAGCUCACAGUUGUGACUCAGCAGAAAUUCUGGAAUGAAGAGCCAGAUGUAAAUGUUUGUGGAAGAGAAGAGAAUAGAUGCUUGUGGAAUUGGCAGUGCAUGAACAAACGCCACACUGAUGAAGGAGUGAGCGAGUGGGUGAAAGGCUGGGCCCUUCGCUCUGCUGAGCGGCUCUGAGGAAACUUCCUUUAGCAGGCUCAAUAAAUUCAUGGCUCUGGGCUCUCCACAACUGGACUGUCUCGGCUUAAUUUCUUCUUCACAUGAUGGAACAAAGAAAGAAAGCAGGAGAUUCAAGUCUUCAGGCCUAUCCUGGGCUUUGGGCUCUGCCCCAGGAUAACCAGUGCAGGUCGCUGGGGGCUGGCCUUGCCCAGGGCGCACCAAUCUAAAGAGGCUGAGGAGGCCAGAAUGGCAGCAAGC
This 807-nucleotide long non-coding RNA is filed under the name Equus caballus (horse). Its description in RNAcentral is "lncRNA (ENSECAG00000053956.1)". The record is from RNAcentral. Lineage: Eukaryota; Metazoa; Chordata; Mammalia; Perissodactyla; Equidae.